CGGGGUGCAGCAGGCGCGAAAACUUUACAAUGCUGGCAACAGCGAUAAGGGGACCUCGAGUGCCAGGAUACAAUCUUGGCUGUCGCGAUGCCUAAAAAGCAUUGCAUAGCAAGGGCCGGGCAAGACCGGUGCCAGCCGCCGCGGUAACACCGGCGGCUCGAGUGGUAACCGCUAUUAUUGGGUCUAAAGGGUCUGUAGCCGGCCGGAUAAGUCUUUUGGGAAAUCCUGCUGCUCAACAGUUGGGCUUUCAGAAGAUACUGUUCGGCUCGAGACCGGGAGAGGUGAGAGGUACUUCAGGGGUAGGGGUGAAAUCUUGUAAUCCUUGAAGGACCACCAGUGGCGAAGGCGUCUCACCAGAACGGAUCUGACGGCAAGGGACGAAAGCUAGGGGCACGAACCGGAUUAGAUACCCGGGUAGUCCUAGCCGUAAACGAUACUCGCUAGGUGUCAGCCACGGUGCGACCGUGGUUGGUGCCGUAGGGAAGCCGUGAAGCGAGCCACCUGGGAAGUACGGCCGCAAGGCUGAAACUUAAAGGAAUUGGCGGGGG
Molecule: ribosomal RNA, 548 nt
Filed under: uncultured archaeon
Lineage: Archaea
Description: bacterial SSU rRNA
Rfam family: Archaeal small subunit ribosomal RNA
Source: RNAcentral